GGGAGUGUAGUUUAUGAUGAGAAUGUUGCUUUUGUAAAGCUUUGGUAUUGUUUGGUUGCUUCCU
RNAcentral lists this transfer RNA (64 nucleotides) under Dicrocoelium chinensis. Its description in RNAcentral is "tRNA-Thr". The record is from RNAcentral. Lineage: Eukaryota; Metazoa; Platyhelminthes; Trematoda; Plagiorchiida; Dicrocoeliidae.